Molecule: ribosomal RNA, 443 nt
Filed under: uncultured bacterium
Lineage: Bacteria
Description: partial 16S ribosomal RNA
Rfam family: Bacterial small subunit ribosomal RNA
Source: RNAcentral
CCUACGGGAGGCAGCAGUGGGGAAUAUUGGGCAAUGGAGGCAACUCUGACCCAGCAAUGCCGCGUGAGUGAUGAAGGUAAUUUUAUUGUAAAGCUCUUUUCUUUGGAACGAAUUACUGACGGUACCAAAGGCAUAAGCUACGUCUAACUACGUGCCAGCAGCAGCGGUAAUACGUAGGGGGCGAGCGGUGUUCGGAAUGACUGGUCGUAAAGGGUGUGUAGGUGGUUAGAGAAGUUAGAAGUGUAAUACCCAGGGCUUAACUCUGGUGCUGCAUCGCAAACUGUUAGACUUGAGUACUGGAGAGGAUAGUGGAAUUCCUAGUGUAGCGGUGGAAUGCGUAGAUAUUAGGAGGAACAUCAGUGGCGAAGGCGACUAUCUGGACAGCAACUGACACUGAGGCACGAAAGCGUGGGGAGCAAACAGGAUUAGAUACCCGAGUAGUC